GGCGCCUUGGCCGAGAAGUUAGGCAACGGUCUGCAAAACCGUGUAGACGGGAGCGUUACCCGUAGGUGCCUCCA
Molecule: transfer RNA, 74 nt
Filed under: Candidatus Saccharimonadota bacterium
Lineage: Bacteria; Candidatus Saccharimonadota
Also listed under: 7 other names
Description: tRNA-Cys
Rfam family: tRNA
About the family: Transfer RNA (tRNA) molecules are approximately 80 nucleotides in length. Their secondary structure includes four short double-helical elements and three loops (D, anti-codon, and T loops).
Source: RNAcentral